RNAcentral lists this long non-coding RNA (491 nucleotides) under Mus musculus (house mouse). RNAcentral's name for it is "predicted gene, 48187". The record is from RNAcentral. Lineage: Eukaryota; Metazoa; Chordata; Mammalia; Rodentia; Muridae.
CUCCUUUGCCUGCUUGCUGCGUGAGACUGAGUAACUGCUAGAUCCUUGGACUUCCAUUCACAGCUGCGACUGAACAAUUGUUGGGAAUUCGGCUGCCGACUAGACAGGGUCUCAUGUUGGCUCGGAGAUUGGCUGCGCGUAGGCUCAGUAGACUGGACGGCAAGCCCCAGGAAUCUCCUAAGAGACGCUAUCCCAGGAUGGUCUUGAACUCACAGAGCUUUCUUCCUCAGCCUCCUAAGUGCUAGGAUGACAGGAUCUCACAUCCCACAGAUUCCACAUGGCACUGGGAUUUGCCUAAUUCCAUAUGGAAGGAGUUUAUUAAAGGCGGUUUUACACUUGUGCUCAUCUCGUCGUGGCCUCCGAGUGCAAGAAUUACAGCCAUCCAGCCUGGUGCCCAGCCUUUGACACGGUUGUUAAGGUGGAACAAGGUAAAGUCCAGAGAAAGGUUCUGGUUGACAAGAACCGCCUAAGCCAGCCACCAAAGAGACCAG